UUCCGUAGGGGGAACCUGCGGAGGGAUCAUUGCUGGAACGCGCCCCAGGCGCACCCAGAAACCCUUUGUGAACUUAUACCUUUUGUUGCCUCGGCGCAUGCUGGCCUCUAGUAGGCCCCUCACCCCGGUGAGGAGAAGGCACGCCGGCGGCCAAGUUAACUCUUGUUUUUACACUGAAACUCUGAGAAAAAACACAAAUGAAUCAAAACUUUCAACAACGGAUCUCUUGGUUCUGGCAUCGAUGAAGAACGCAGCGAAAUGCGAUAAGUAAUGUGAAUUGCAGAAUUCAGUGAAUCAUCGAAUCUUUGAACGCACAUUGCGCCCUCUGGUAUUCCGGAGGGCAUGCCUGUUCGAGCGUCAUUUCAACCCUCAAGCAUUGCUUGGUGUUGGGGCACUGCUUCUAACGAAGCAGGCCCUGAAAUCUAGUGGCGAGCUCGCCAGGACCCCGAGCGUAGUAGUUAAACCCUCGCUCUGGAAGGCCCUGGCGGUGCCCUGCCGUUAAACCCCCAACUUUUGAAAAUUUGACCUCGGAUCAGGUAGCAUUC
This 545-nucleotide ribosomal RNA is filed under the name fungal sp. SNB-GTC2809. RNAcentral's name for it is "LSU rRNA". The stretch from base 207 to 360 matches the Rfam family "5.8S ribosomal RNA". The record is from RNAcentral. Lineage: Eukaryota; Fungi.